AUCUGUAUAUGCGAUAAUAGGAAGUCAGGGAACUUUCUCUGCCCGUCCCUACUCCCCUCACUCCCCCACUUUCUGUUAUGAAAGAUAGUUGUACUUUUAUCAUUAACUGCUACGCAUUUAGUGAGGGUCACAUUAUUAAACCUGGUGGGGUUCACCAUUUUCCCACAGGAGGUUUUGCUGGCAUUCCUUGGAACUCCCAAUUUCAGUAGGGCAGUGAAUGAAUGAAUACUUUGCAGUACUACUUUUGGAAGGAGUUUCUGCUUUUUGCCUUAUAAUCGGACAAAAUGCAGCUGUAAAAUUUUAAAUUGUUUUUGAUGUGUUAUUCAAUAUCCCAUGAAAGUAUUCACCUAAAGUGGAGUUAUGAAAUGGGUGGUGAUAUAAUAAGACCAUUCUGGAGCAGAGCCAGUUUCUUUUUUUCCUGUUGUGAGAUGACAUGGCUCUGACAAACAUGUUAUUGUGGGUUACCUGACCCAGGCAAGUCCUUUUUUUUUUUUUUUUAAUCACCGUAUUAGUACUCUUAGCAGCAAUCCUUUUGCAACCGAUCUCUAAAGCGAAAUAGAAUUCUAAAUAUUAGCUCACUUAUUUUAAAUAAGGCAUGCAAUAGAAUUCUAGUGCCAGAAGAGGAUUUGGGUCAUCUCAUAGAGCUUAUUCCUGUGGCUUUUGUUUUUGACAGUCUCACUCUGUCAGCCAGGCUGGAGUGCAGUGGUACAAUCUCAGCUCACUGCAACCUCUGCCUCCUGGGUUCAAGAGAUUGUCCUGCCUCAGCCUCCUGAGUAGUUGGAAUUAACAGGUGCACGCCACCAGUCCUAGCUAGUUUUUGUAUUUUUACUGGGGGUGGGGUUUUGCCAUGUAGGCCAGACUGGUCUCAAAACUCCUGACCUCAGGUGAUCUGCCUGCCUCAGCCUCCCAAAGUGUUGGGAUUACAGACUUGAGCCACCAUCCCUGGCCCUCCUGUGGCACUUAAAGUUUUUUCUCUCAUUUGGGAAAAUUGAUUUUCCCAGAGCUGAGGAGAGGAUCAAGUAAGUAGAGCUUAUAGCGCUUAGUCUCUCCUUGCUUUCCCUAGAGUAGUUCCACUCUGCACUUUAUGUAUUUUCCGUACUGAUAAGUUGUUUCAGUACAGGGAGAGAUUUGCUGCUUUUAAGUUUGAAAAAAACUGCCAUUAUAAAUGACCAUGUCUCUUACUUGAGGUUUAUUUAGAUCAUAGUCAAAGGUUCCCAAGUAUAAUGGAAUCAGGUCAUCUGGGAUUCUAAGCCAUACUUAGUUUUACAUAAGAAAAAAGGACAUAGAACCUUUUAAGUUUUACUCUGAUUAUGUUUUAUGUCAGAGCUUCUCAUUUUAUUUAAUGGUCAUUUAGUCUAGCUUUCCUUAAAGAUACGUAGAUUUAAAAGCCUCUCUAGAGAUAAGGAAACCAAGUUUAAAAGAGAGAUGCAGUGACUCAUGCCUGUGUAAACCCAACACUUUGAAAGGCCAGGGCAGGAGGAUCAUUUGAAGCCAGAAGUUUGAGACCAGCCUGGACGACAUAGCAAGACCCCAUCUCCACAAGCCAAAAUUGAAGGAUUAGCCAGGUGCGGUGGCGUGUGCCUCUAGUCCCAGCUACUCAGGAGGCCAAGGCGGCAGGAUCACUUGAGCCCCGGAGUUAGAGCUACACUGCACUCCAGCCUGGACGACAGAGCAAGACCCUGUCUCUUAAAAAAAAAAAAAAAGGUUAAGUUCCCAGAGUCAUACCACAUAAAUAAUGAACCAGCUCUUCUGUUAUCAAGGCUUCGAGUUUAUCCACUAGGUUGUAUUUUUUUGUUCAGGCAUCUAGUACUGCAGUUCUCCUUACAAAACUAUAUCUGGACAAUCAAAUAUAUCUAAAUUGAAUGUUAUGUAGCAGAGCUCACACAUGUAGUGAGUUUCAUUGGAUAUUCAGUUAAAAAAAAGAAAAAA
Molecule: long non-coding RNA, 1929 nt
Filed under: Macaca fascicularis (crab-eating macaque)
Lineage: Eukaryota; Metazoa; Chordata; Mammalia; Primates; Cercopithecidae
Description: lncRNA (ENSMFAG00000055549.1)
Source: RNAcentral